ACUAUAGUCACCUGAACAACUUUAGCUUAAUGAAGCAGUUUUGGUGUAUAGAACAUGCCCCCGCAGCCUCACUGCUCAAUCCUCUGCCAUUUAGGAGUUAAAUCCCUUUGUUUAUGAACCCUAGUCACACCUCCCUGCAUGUGACUUGCACAGCCUUCCAUAAACACUUCCUGUAAAGAGAGCCCUAUUUAGGCUUUCUUUAUUGCAAGUUCUGUUUAAUUAAGAUUUUCUUAUCCCCUGCUAUGUUAAUAGCUUGCUAGACCCUGCAAGAGCCUCCUGUAUGUGAUUAAAGUUCAAUUUAGAGAUUGAGAUACAAUUAUUUAAGGU
Molecule: non-coding RNA, 327 nt
Organism: Pelobates cultripes (western spadefoot toad)
Lineage: Eukaryota; Metazoa; Chordata; Amphibia; Anura; Pelobatidae
Source: the annotation of a GenBank genome assembly